RNAcentral lists this long non-coding RNA (1513 nucleotides) under Capra hircus (goat). Its description in RNAcentral is "lncRNA (ENSCHIG00010009379.1)". Lineage: Eukaryota; Metazoa; Chordata; Mammalia; Artiodactyla; Bovidae. The record is from RNAcentral.
GAUCCAACCCGCAUCUCCUGUUUGUCAGGUAGAUUCUUUACCACUGAGCCACCUGGGAAGCCCCGUGUGGAUGGUAGACACGUCUAUUGUAUCAUCUCUUUGGUCAUCAUAGUAUAUCAUUUGGCCUUCGACACCAUGAGCACUGGGUGUGAUCCCUCACUUACUGGUGAGGAAAUGGAGUUUUAGGAUGUUAGAGAGCUAGUGAAUUGUGCUGAUACAGAUCCAAGCCUGAAGGGGUCAAGAUGAUUCCACGUUGCUCCACUGCUGAACAUCCGUGAGCUAAGGUGGAUUUGGGAGAGGUUGUUGCUUAGACUAGCACAUCUUGAUGCCUUAAUUUCAAAAUGCAGCGCUGAGGGAAACUUACUAGGAUAAGGCUCUUUUGGUGAAGAGACCUUCGGGGUCAGUAAGGAGUGGCCGGGGCUGCAGGAGGAGGAGGGGAGAGGCGAGGUGGUGGGGAGGUUUCCCCGGCGGCAGUAGCCACAGGAUCGCAGAGCAGAUUUCUUUUAGUCCACCCAAGACGGGAACAGAACUGGAAACUGCAGGUCAGGACUCUCGAGUGCAGAGAGAAGUGGGAAAGUGACUUAACACUGUGUUUCUGCGCUGGUCUCUCCGCUCCUGCUUUUCAACCCAAGUGUGCCUCGUGUUCUGGGGCGGCCUCGGGGGCUUGUACAGGGCGGUGCCGGGCCCUUAGAAUGGCUAGGGAUUCAGGAAGGUCCGUGCUGGUCCUGAGGGUUGAAUCCCGACCCGACCCUCUGGUUUUCUCAGUGGAGACUCAGUCUUCUUCCUGCCUGAUGUUGUUGGCGGUGAGCAAGGUGCACAGGAGACGAGGCCACCACACCAGCCUGUUUGCUGACCACUGUUCUGUGUCCUUCGUCCUCCAGAAUUACCUGGUGCAUAGGUAGCUUCCCCUAACCAGGGAAACAGAACAAGCCCAGAUGGCAGAGCGCUGACCCGUCCUGAGACCCCACAGACGGCAGCAUCUCCACCAUGGGCACACGGACCAGGGCGACCUCUUUUUGAUUCAUGGUUUGCAAAUGUCUUUAGCGGUGAGUUUCUUCCUUCAAAUAAUUUCUUCCUGACACCGAAGCCCAAUAAUUAAAACAGAUGAAAAGUAGAGCUGAUAAUUUAGGUGUCGGACAUGACUGAGCGACUGAACUGAACUGAACUGAAACCCUGUAAAGAACAGUAAUUUCAACUAGAAAAUUAAAGUCAGAGAGGUGGGAAGAGGGGAGUUUCCAGAGCUAGGCCGGGACUCAGAACUGCCCCAGGUGCCCUGGCCAGCAUUUGCUCACCACUCCUCUCUGGAGGCCUGGAGACACAGCCCCAACUAGUCUAUGGAUGACAUCAGUGCAUAAUUAGAGGUGAGUUUCACAGCAGCCCUUAAAAAAAUGCCUCUUGACCAAUAGACUUUACUUUUAGCAAACUGAAAUAGUCCACACUUUAAAAAAUGAGUGUUAAUCUAAAGAAGGGUUCGCCAGCCAGAAAAUUUAGUACAAUGAAAGUCACAAAACAC